This 494-nucleotide ribosomal RNA is filed under the name uncultured bacterium. Its description in RNAcentral is "partial 16S ribosomal RNA". It matches the Rfam family "Bacterial small subunit ribosomal RNA", at positions 30 to 507 of the family's 1533-position model. The record is from RNAcentral.
AUUGAACGCUGGCGGCAUGCUUUACACAUGCAAGUCGAACGGCAGCGGGGAGGAGCUUGCUUCUCUGCCGGCGAGUGGCGAACGGGUGAGUAAUACAUCGGAACGUGUCGAGAAGAGGGGGGUAACCACCCGAAAGGGUGGCUAAUACCGCAUAAAUUCUGAGGAAGAAAGCUGGGGACCUAGGAAUAGGCCUAGCGCUUUUUGAGCGGCCGAUGUCGGAUUAGCUAGUUGGUGAGGUAAAGGCUCACCAAGGCGAAGAUCUGUAGCGGGUCUGAGAGGAUGAUCCGCCACACUGGGACUGAGACACGGCCCAGACUCCUACGGGAGGCAGCAGUGGGGAAUUUUGGACAAUGGGGGCAACCCUGAUCCAGCCAUGCCGCGUGUAUGAAGAAGGCCUUAGGGUUGUAAAGUACUUUUGUUAGGGAAGAAAAGUCAGCUGUGAAUAAUGGCUGAUACUGACGGUACCUAAAGAAUAAGCACCGGCUAACUACGUG